GCUCCGCCCACAUACCACACACCUUUCCUAGACUCCGCUGAGCAUCUGUACAGGCUUCAGAAACUUACAACUUGGGGGUACAGCAACUCAGAAGAUGGACAUGGCCCUCAGUUCCAGUUUAUAGAUGAGCAUACAGCAUAGAGUAGCUUCCCAAGGCCAUGGAGCUAGAGAGCAGCUGACUGUCCAGCCCUGAAGACCACAGGCUCCCUGCCCCUGCAGCCCCUACUGCCUCCCAUGGUCCCUCCCACACCUGUGCCUGGAGACAUCCCCAAGACUAAUGUGUGAAGUGGACUCUCUUCUCUUGGGAUAUACAAAAUUAUUGGUAUUUUGAAAUUGACAUUCUAUCUAACUUGGGUCCCUUGGAGCACAUCCAAACUUCUAACCAAGGAGGAGAAGAUGAUGACAUGUCCAAGACUGGUGGAAUGUUCUGCCUUUCCAAACUGUGCUUCCCAGCCUGGAUAUCUGAAUCCUGGAUCCUGUCACUGUUCCUUGAUGUUGAAGGAGGAGAGAAGAUCCUUCCACCUGGUUCCAGUGACUCAUGUCCCCAGUGGUAACCCAUCAGGCUGCUCACAGUAGUCCACUCACCAUUCUUUCUGGACAGACUGUGUUACCAUGCCCACUUUGAAUUAGGUGAGGCUAUAGGACUUACUCUGAACAAUUAAAAAUGAGAUAAAAUAAUGCAUGUCA
Suricata suricatta (meerkat) is the source of this 687-nucleotide long non-coding RNA. RefSeq lists it as uncharacterized. The transcript is spliced from 2 exons. The record is from RefSeq and is a predicted model, not a curated record. NCBI's taxonomy places the organism in Eukaryota, Metazoa, Chordata, Mammalia, Carnivora, Herpestidae.